GGAGAAGUCGCAUAGAGGCCUAGUGCGUCCGCUUGGAAAGCGGAUACGGGAAACCGUACGUGGGUUCGAAUCCCACCUUCUCCG
RNAcentral lists this transfer RNA (84 nucleotides) under Chloroflexota bacterium. RNAcentral's name for it is "Chloroflexi bacterium tRNA-Ser". It matches the Rfam family "tRNA". From Rfam's summary of the family: Transfer RNA (tRNA) molecules are approximately 80 nucleotides in length. Their secondary structure includes four short double-helical elements and three loops (D, anti-codon, and T loops). The record is from RNAcentral. RNAcentral also lists the same sequence under 3 other names. Lineage: Bacteria; Bacillati; Chloroflexota.